CCUACGGGCGGCAGCAGUGAGGAAUAUUGGUCAAUGGACGCAAGUCUGAACCAGCCAUGCCGCGUGAGUGAAGAAGUAUUUCGGUAUGUAAAGCUCUAUCAGCAGGGAAGAAGAAAGACGGUACCUGACUAAGAAGCCCCGGCUAACUACGUGCCAGCAGCCGCGGUAAUACGUAGGGGGCAAGCGUUAUCCGGAUUUACUGGGUGUAAAGGGAGCGUAGACGGCUGUGCAAGUCUGAAGUGAAAGCCCGUGGCUCAACCGCGGAACUGCUUUGGAAACUGUAUAGCUUGAGUACUGGAGAGGCAGGCGGAAUUCCUAGUGUAGCGGUGAAAUGCGUAGAUAUUAGGAGGAACACCAGUGGCGAAGGCGGCCUGCUGGACAGAAACUGACGUUGAGGCUCGAAAGCGUGGGGAGCAAACAGGAUUAGAUACCCCUGUAGUC
Molecule: ribosomal RNA, 441 nt
Filed under: uncultured bacterium
Lineage: Bacteria
Description: partial 16S ribosomal RNA
Rfam family: Bacterial small subunit ribosomal RNA
Source: RNAcentral